RNAcentral lists this ribosomal RNA (381 nucleotides) under Spiricoelotes sp. ZZ681. RNAcentral's name for it is "partial 16S ribosomal RNA". The record is from RNAcentral. Lineage: Eukaryota; Metazoa; Arthropoda; Arachnida; Araneae; Agelenidae.
CUCAAUGAAAUUAAAUAGCCGCAACGUUUUCUUGUGCUAAGGUAGCAUAAUCAUUUGUUUUUUAAUUGAAAACCAGAACGAAAGAUUUAACAUUUUUAUUUCUCUCUUAUAUAUAAAUAUUUAAUUUAUUUUAAAUAUAAAAAAAUAUUUAUAAAUAAAAAAGACGACAAGACCCUAUUAAACUUCACUAAAGUUCAACUGGGGCAGUUAAUUAAAUAUCAUUUUAAUUUAAAUCUUAAAACGACCUAAUAAAAUUAAAUUUAUCAAGUUACUAUAGGGAUAACAGCGCAAUAAAUUUCUCAAGAUCUUAUUCAAAAAUUAAUUUGCGACCUCGAUGUUGAAUUAAUAAUCUUUUAAAUGCAACAAUUUAACAAGAAAGUC